AAAAAUAUUAGUAGUUGUGUCUUUUUUUAUAUAUAUUUUUUCUUUUUGGUCAAAGCUUUUGUUUGGUUGUAUAUGUUGAUCUUGAUGAGAUUCUAAUGAAUCUUGUAAAAACCUAAUUGUCUUGUAUAUUAAAAAUACCCUUCUACUUUCUUUCUUUAAAGAACUUUACUUCACACAAAAAGAAUGGUAAAAAUCUAGUAAAAGAACAACAAGAAUUUGGUAUUAUUCUUCAAGAAACAAAUGAAGAAACUAUUGCAUUCAUAAUUCAUAGUUUCUACAUUUAAUCUUAUUCAAAACUCUUACAUAACUAUACAACAUCUAUGAUUGUUAUCUUGAUUUGCCUCAAAGAAUUGAUUAUCAGGAUACGGAUGCGGCCAUCCCAACCAUAUCAUUGGCCAUGACACAGGUUGGGGUUGGGGUUGUGGUAGCAUUAAUUGCCAAUGAUAUGGCUUCACAUUGAACAUUUGUUACGGUCUUGCACUAAUAAUCGAUCGAUCUACUGUAAUGAUGAAGCUACGUACCAAACAAGUGAUUGAUAUUUGGUGCAGCUUCUUAUUUGCGUGACUGGACAAAUUUGGCUGCAACUCAUGAUAAUCUCACCAAUUCAAUAAGUCUAACUUAUCCCUAUAUAUUUUUGUCUGAUUCUUUUAUUGUUUUCCAUUACCUGAAUUAUCAAUUCCUAGCUUUUAAUUCUUGUCAUUAAGAGCUUUCUAAGAGCUAUGGUCUACAAACUUUUUUUUUUUUGUUUACUUGUGAAUUGAUUUGCAUGCAAAAUCUUAUUUGGUAAGUUGAGUAAUUUGGGAGAAUUGGAUUAGUUUUUAUUGAUAUUAGUUUAAAUGACUUCAAAGUUAUACUUUUAUUGAUUCUCGUUUUGUUUAUGGUUUGAGUAAUUGUACUACCUGGACAAUCCUUCUUUGUAAUAUUACAACAAUCACUACUUUUGUCACAAUUGUAGAGAUUCUUAAGAAUAAUGGGCUAGCUAGGUAAAAGAAAAUAAAGGAGAAGGAUUCUUCUGCUUCAUCUCCCAACAAGCACAAGAUGAAAUCCUAUUUCUGGCUUUCUUUCAGAGCCAACUGACAACGAGAGCAGGACACCACCUCCACCAGCAGUGAGUGAGGAAGAAAGGAGCUAAAUAAGUUAAGGGUUGAAAAUGUAUAAUUUCCGCUAUUUAUAUUGAAUAGGAAAAAAAUUACCUGAUUAUGUAACAUAAUCUCCUUUUGUUGAAAUAUUUUAAAUUUAUUACAAUUCAUCAACUUAAUAUUGAUUUCCACAAGAGAAGAGUGUUA
This is a long non-coding RNA of Cucumis sativus (cucumber), 1286 nucleotides long. RefSeq lists it as uncharacterized. The transcript is spliced from 3 exons. Lineage: Eukaryota; Viridiplantae; Streptophyta; Magnoliopsida; Cucurbitales; Cucurbitaceae. The record is from RefSeq and is a predicted model, not a curated record.